Molecule: long non-coding RNA, 1596 nt
Organism: Lathyrus oleraceus (garden pea)
Lineage: Eukaryota; Viridiplantae; Streptophyta; Magnoliopsida; Fabales; Fabaceae
Exons: 2
Source: RefSeq, a predicted model, not a curated record
UGUAAAAAAAUUGCAGUUUAAUGGAAUAGGCAACUACCGUAUAUUCUACAUCUGGAAUUGCGUUGCCUAAAGAUUAAGGCUACGGUUUUUUAAUAUUUGACCGCGGUUUUCGCUUGUUACCUAAAGUCAUUUUGGUUGUAGUGUCUCUUGCGUCUUUGAAUAUCCUGGAGUCACGUUUGACUCGUGGUUCGCAUAGGUCAUCAUGUGCUUUCAUCUUCGUCUUCUUCGGCAUCGAUUUGUCGCUCGCGUUACAGGAAACUCCAAGGGCUCAAUCUCCAGGUUCAGACGGAAAAUUCAAAUUCAACUCGAUAAAUCUCAGACAACAUAUAAUGCAGCAGCUCGAAAAUGCAUCGAUGUCAUCUUGCCGAUCAAGGAUGAAAGUAAAUCGCACGGCCAAGAACGAACUUAUUUAGAUGUUUCACUCUCUCAAGUACACGUCUUGAGCAAGAAAUCAAAACGAGAACAAUAAGAAUUGCGCUUAGGGUUCAUCAUUUCACCGAAUCACCGUCGGAAUUGAUACUGUCAGAAGCUUCUACUCAUGCACGGAAUCAAGAAGGGAUGAAUCGUGACAAAAAAAAUUGAUGGUUGAGUGAAAAGACUUACCGAAAAGGAUCCUUCGAUGCGAUAAUCUCAAGGUGUGGUUUCUGCUAGAUUCUGUUAAUGGAUGCAGGGUGUGGUUUUCUUGUAGCAUUUGUAUGGUUGCAGGAAAUGUGGUGGCAAUAGGAAAUGGAUGAAUAUGUUUGGUAGCUGCUUGUCGUGUUGUGUUUGGCUGCAACUAAUUUCGGUUUUGUUGCGGUACCACUGCUGUUUCUGUUGCAGCUUGAUGCGUUUACAUUUGUGUCCCAUUCUGCAGCUUUUUCCCAUUUCCGCAUUUGCAAUCUGUUUCGGCAGCAACUGGUGUUUGGAAGUGGCUUUGCUGCUAUGCUGCUGCGUUGUCGGCGGAUCUUGUUGGCUUAUGGAUUGCACUAUGGCUUCUAUUUCUUGUAGCUUGCCGCGUCUUGGUUAGCUUGUACAUGUUUCCGUUUACACUUUUCAUGUUUCCGUUUUGGCUUGCAGCUUCGUAUUGGCCGUUGUGCUUUAGCUUUGGAAUUCUGUUAUACUAUUCACGUUUUCUGCUAUGGUUUUAUGCAGGUUUUGCCGUGCCAUUUCGUGGCCUUUUGGCUGUUGGCUAUGCUGCUAUGAAUGUUUGGAUGGAGGUUAAAAGGUUUUAACUGAAUGUUGUUAAAGGAAGAAAACGGCGACGACGUGAAGCAUGUGGCAUGACGAGGAAUCCAACAUGAAAACGAUGAACCAAGACGACUUCACAACAAUUCAAGGCCCAUAACCUUCUUUUUCCUCACUUAUUCACAUGCUGUAAUAUCAUAUGGAAGAGUGACGCGGCCUAAACAAGCAUGCUUAAUAGACAUGGAAUUUAACCAAAUGAACAUACUCCCUACCAAGGUCAACUUUAAUCUACUUGGAAAUAGGAUACCAAAUCUUGUGAUUUUGUAAGGGGAAAUUGUACUUUAAGAGCAGGUAUGUAUGAAAUUGUCAUGUUGAAAUGUAAUAAGAAUGGUUUAUGAUGCAAGGCGGGGAAUUGGAGUUGGUUUUAAAAUA